UGUCUGGCCUAUUUUAAGGGGGAGAGAGACAUGCUGUUCUGAGGCACAGCAGAUCUACCCCAAAGUGGUAGCCUCUCCGUUCCUAGGAACAUGAUAGCU
This 99-nucleotide small nucleolar RNA is filed under the name Fukomys damarensis (Damara mole-rat). Its description in RNAcentral is "Small nucleolar RNA SNORA64/SNORA10 family (ENSFDAG00000001878.1)". It matches the Rfam family "Small nucleolar RNA SNORA64/SNORA10 family", at positions 39 to 133 of the family's 133-position model. Rfam says of the family: This family belongs to the H/ACA class of small nucleolar RNAs (snoRNAs) which act as guides in the the modification of uridines to pseudouridines. This family includes the human snoRNAs U64 and ACA10 and mouse MBI-29. The record is from RNAcentral. Lineage: Eukaryota; Metazoa; Chordata; Mammalia; Rodentia; Bathyergidae.